AGCAGCCGCGGUAAUUCCAGCUCCAAUAGCGUAUAUUAAAGUUGUUGCAGUUAAAAAGCUCGUAGUUGAAUUUCGGGAUCAAUAUAUCGGUCGUGCCUUUGGUACGUACUGGUAUCAUUGAUUUCUCCUUUCUGACGAAUCAUGAUGUCAUUAAUUUGGUGUUAUGAGGAGUUAGGACUGUUACUUUGAAAAAAUUAGAGUGUUUAAAGCAGGCAUUAGCUUGAAUACAUUAGCAUGGAAUAAUGAAAUAGGACGUUUGACCCUAUUUUGUUGGUUUUUAGGAUCGACGUAAUGAUUAAUAGGGAUAGUUGGGGGCAUUAGUAUUCAAUUGUCAGAGGUGAAAUUCUUGGAUUUAUUGAAGACUAACUACUGCGAAAGCAUUUGCCAAGGAUGUUUUCAUUAAUCAAGAACGAAAGUUAGGGGAUCGAAGACGAUCAGAUACCGUCGUAGUCUUAACCAUAAACUAUGCCGACUAGGGAUCGGAUGAUGUUAAUUUUAUAAUGACUCAUUC
This 511-nucleotide ribosomal RNA is filed under the name uncultured Glomus. Its description in RNAcentral is "SSU rRNA". It matches the Rfam family "Eukaryotic small subunit ribosomal RNA", at positions 569 to 1081 of the family's 1831-position model. Lineage: Eukaryota; Fungi; Glomeromycota; Glomeromycetes; Glomerales; Glomeraceae. The record is from RNAcentral.